CCUACGGGAGGCAGCAGUGAGGAAUAUUGGUCAAUGGCCGUAAGGCUGAACCAGCCAAGUCGCGUGAAGGAAGAAGGAUCUAUGGUUUGUAAACUUCUUUUAUAGGGGAAUAAAGGUAUCCACGUGUGGAUAUUUGCAUGUACCCUAUGAAUAAGCAUCGGCUAACUCCGUGCCAGCAGCCGCGGUAAUACGGAGGAUUCGAGCGUUAUCCGGUUUUAUUGGGUUUAAAGGGUGCGUAGGUUGUUUUUUAAGUCAGCGGUGAAAGUUUGUGGCACAACCAUAAAAUUGCCGUUGAAACUGGAAGACGUGAGUGUGUUUGAGGUAGGCGGAAUGCGUGGUGUAGCGGUGAAAUGCAUAGAUAUCACGCAGAACUCCGAUUGCGAAGGCAGCUUACUAAGCCAUAACUGACACUGAAGCACGAAAGCGUGGGGAUCAAACAGGAUUAGAUACCCUGGUAGUC
Molecule: ribosomal RNA, 460 nt
Filed under: uncultured bacterium
Lineage: Bacteria
Description: partial 16S ribosomal RNA
Rfam family: Bacterial small subunit ribosomal RNA
Source: RNAcentral